UAUGAGGGGGCAGUAAAGUACUGCUGGUGUAGAGAUGAAAUUCUGUCAUACCUAAUUCAUAUAACGUCUUCUAGACGAAAGAACCUACGGCACAGGUAUAGGCGAAAGCAUCUCCUUAUGUGAUAACUGACGUUGAGGGACGAAGGCUUUGUGUAGCGAACAGGAUUAGAUACCCAAGUAGUCAAAGCAGAAAAUGAUGAAUGUCAUAGAUUAGACAUAUAGUUUAUUCUAUAAAUGAAAGUGUAAGCAUUCCACCUCAAGAGUAAUUUGGCAACAUUGGAACUGAAAUCAUUAGACCGUUUCUGAAACCAGUAGUGAAGUAUGUUGUUUAAUUUGAUAGUCCUCAAAAAACCUUACCACAAUUUGAAUAUUUAUGUUUUGAUUAGUUCUGUUUUUAAAACUUGUUUCAUAAAAACAAGAAAAUAUAUAAAACUAAGUUUUUUUUGUUAAUAAUAAACGGGCUGGAACUAAUUAAGACAUAUCUACAAGCGUUGCACGGCUGUCUUCAG
RNAcentral lists this ribosomal RNA (509 nucleotides) under Lecanora cinereofusca. Its description in RNAcentral is "SSU rRNA". It matches the Rfam family "Bacterial small subunit ribosomal RNA", at positions 647 to 1058 of the family's 1533-position model. The record is from RNAcentral. Lineage: Eukaryota; Fungi; Ascomycota; Lecanoromycetes; Lecanorales; Lecanoraceae.